RNAcentral lists this non-coding RNA (23 nucleotides) under Arabidopsis thaliana (thale cress). Lineage: Eukaryota; Viridiplantae; Streptophyta; Magnoliopsida; Brassicales; Brassicaceae. The record is from RNAcentral.
GUGUUAAAGCAUAUAAGAUGUAC